GGCCAGCAGCCGCGGUAAUACCGGCAGCCCGAGUGAUGGCCGAUCUUAUUGGGCCUAAAGCGUCCGUAGCUGGCUGCGCAAGUCCGUCGGGAAAUCCACUCGCCCAACGAGUGGGCGUCCGACGGAAACUGCACAGCUUGGGACCGGAAGGCUCGAAGGGUACGUUCGGGGUAGGAGUGAAAUCUCAUAAUCCCGCACGGACCACCGAUGGCGAAAGCACUUCGAGAAAACGGAUCCGACAGUGAGGGACGAAAGCUAAGAUCGCGAACCGGAUUAGAUACCCUAGUAGUCC
This 292-nucleotide ribosomal RNA is filed under the name uncultured bacterium. RNAcentral's name for it is "partial 16S ribosomal RNA". It matches the Rfam family "Archaeal small subunit ribosomal RNA", at positions 456 to 747 of the family's 1478-position model. The record is from RNAcentral.